UACAUUGCCUAAAAAUAAUAAUAAUAAUAAUAAUAUAUGCCAUUUAGCAGACGCUUUUAUCCAAAGCGACUUACAGUCAUGUGUGCAUACAUUCUACGUAUGGGUGGUCCCGGGAAUCGAACCCACUACCCUGGCGUUACAAGCGCCAUGCUCUACCAACUGAGCCACAGAAGGACCACAAAAUAAAAUAUUGAUCACCCAUAUACGUCUUUUUCUGAAAAUCUUCCCCUGUGUAAGUCUCCCCAACUCUGCCCUUUUCAAACUACAGUAGGUCUAGCGCAUUGGCUGAUAUAGGCUAGUUAUACCGCUUGGGACAGGUUCUUGCGGUAGCGGGCGGGAGUCUGGACAGAAAGCCCAGCGGGUGUGGGCAGGUGCUGUAUGAAAAGCUGGGGGAAAUGGGGAGAAGGGGGAUGAAUAAAUCAAACCUCUACCAUACCGGACGAGAGAUAGAGGAGAGAGACAGAGGAGAGAGAAAAACGCUCGGCCUCUGUCCCAACAGGCAAAGCCCGAAAGAACAGUGUGUGUUGUACGGCUGUGACCUGACGAGCCAACAAUGUAAUUUUGCUUCGUCACUGCUGUUCUAAAAGCCCCCACAUUGGGAUGUCCCUACGGCUCUUAAAAACAAUGGUAUUCAAAUCCCUUCGAGUGACUGAGACUCCAUUUACAGGAAUUACUGCACACACACACACACACACACACACACACACACACACACACACACACACACACACACACACACACACACACACACACACACACACACACACACACACACACACACACACACACACACACACUGAGGAAGAGAACAUUAGCAAUAAAAAUUAAAGCUGUGGCGGUAGUCAGGCCCAGACAGAUAUUCACAGACCGGUAGUCAGGCCCAGACAGGUAUUCACAGACCGGUAGUCAGGCCCAGACAGGUAUUCACAGACCGGUAGUCAGGCCCAGACAGGUAUUCACAGACCGGUAGUCAGGCCCAGACAGGUAUUCACAGACCGGUAGUCAGGCCCAGACAGGUAUUCACAGACCGGUAGUCAGGCCCAGACAGGUAUUCACAGACCGGUAGUCAGGCCCAGACAGGUAUUCACAGACCGGUAGUCAGGCCCAGACAGGUAUUCACAGACCGGUAGUCAGGCCCAGACAGGUAUUCACAGACCGGUAGUCAGGCCCAGACAGGUAUUCACAGACCGGUAGUCAGGCCCAGACAGGUAUUCACAGACCGGUAGUCAGGCCCAGACAGGUAUUCACAGACCGGUAGUCAGGCCCAGACAGGUAUUCACAGACCGGUAGUCAGGCCCAGACAGGUAUUCACAGACCGGUAGUCAGGCCCAGACAGGUAUUCACAGACCGGUAGUCAGGCCCAGACAGGUAUUCACAGACCGGUAGUCAGGCCCAGACAGGUAUUCACAGACCGGUAGUCAGGCCCAGACAGGUAUUCACAGACCGGUAGUCAGGCCCAGACAGGUAUUCACAGACCGGUAGUCAGGCCCAGACAGGUAUUCACAGACCGGUAGUCAGGCCCAGACAGGUAUUCACAGACCGGUAGUCAGGCCCAGACAGGUAUUCACAGACUGGUAAUUCAGGUCCAGACAGGUAUUCACAGACCGGUAGUCAGGCCCAGACAGGUAUUCACAGACUGGUAAAUCAGGUCCAGACAGG
Molecule: long non-coding RNA, 1659 nt
Organism: Oncorhynchus keta (chum salmon)
Lineage: Eukaryota; Metazoa; Chordata; Actinopteri; Salmoniformes; Salmonidae
Exons: 3
Source: RefSeq, a predicted model, not a curated record